UCACUUAAUUUCCUCCUGCAGGCCUACCACAAACAACAAAGUGCUGCUGUUGAAUUCAAUGCAAGAGGGCUGACUUGAAAUGCUGUGCAACUGUCGUCAACAGCUUUUUCGACUCUUUGUGGCAACCCAACUUGGUUUAGUUGGGAAUCAGGGAUGAAAUUAGCAGCUCUAUUUCGAUGGCCAUUUUGGCAUCGACUCGAGCCUUCAUUCUUCUCGGGACUCCCUGAACAAAUUGACAUCGCAAAUCAGCAUCGCAAAUUGCCAAGUCGGCCGCCGGAGAAAAUCAUAUCGCCACAAAUCUGGAUUAUUUUCUCGGAAACCUUUGACGAUCAUGAAGUUCGCGGACACAACUGAGCUCAACAUUUACCGCGCGUCCAAGGGCGGAAAAAAUACCACAGCAAGUCCCGGCCUUUACUAGUUCAGUCCAGCGGCCAUUCUGGACAGCUCCAGCAUCACCCAGUGGUACAGCGGAGUCAACAGCCAGCACUAUUUCGGCUUCCGCGUUCAAAUGUGGAACGAGACGAUCUAGCAAGCUGUUGCCACCCAUCUGACGCGGGUAGGUUAAGAAGGUCUGAACUUAUACCAGGUCCAGUCGAUCCCGUUCGACCGUGUCAUCAUCAUGGUGUCAUUCUGACCAGAUCAAGCGACGGAGAAGAGGACGAACGUUACCACAUUAUACAUACAUUUGAGUACUGAACCAUGCACAGCCAUCGUGACAACAAGAUAUUCCAGUUUUGCUUCUGCUGGAUCUGUCAUCUCAGCAACAACCUCAGCAUCAUCAUUUGGAUAAACAGCAUCCCUGUUGAUUGGAGAUUCUACCCGAUGGCCGAGCUACGUAUCUCUUCCUUCGUCUCCCUUUCUUAAAAUGUCCUCAUGUACACUUCAUGUGAAUGUGGGUGUAUUCACGAGGACCCCCUUUUCUCCCUAUCCCGCCUGGUGGACUCAACUUUUCAGCGGAUGGAUGGAUCACUUGUGGAAGGAUACCUGGCUGAAUUUAACAAGUUCAAAAGUAGGAAAAACAUUUAUCUCUAUUCUUCCUAUUUGAGUAUUGAGUGGGCGUUGAUUGUAAAUUGUUACCGAGUACUAUUACUCCUGAGCUAUAGACAGUUAUUGACUGGAACUGAUUUCUCUUGUCGUUUUUGUUGACUCGGUCAGGGCUCAUUAAAUAGCUCAUAGUACGACAACAGAUCAGGCUUGUUUUGUCCAAAAUAUUUCAAACUUGAAUUCAAUCAAAAUGCAACUAGGAGAUUUUAUUGAGCGAGAGGGGGACCUUCCGCCACACUGCGUGCACCUCCUUGUAUAUAGAUGCUGGUCGGUCAUUGUCGGUUUACCGGUUUUGAUUGCAGUCACCUUUUUUUUCGGUUCUUCUUUCCGGGAAAGGAGAAGAGAACAAAUGAACAAUGUACUGCGCACACGUUGAUUGUUUGCGCUGCAAUCGAUCGGUCGUUAGUGUUUUCCUUUGAACAGGAAAGAGAUGAGACACAAAUAUCUACAGCACAAUGGGACUUUUGGUGCCAUUGUGGUACGGUACGGAUCAUCCACACUAAACUUUUUCUUUCUUUUUCUUUCGGGAAAGAAUAAAAGGGUACCGUGAAUUUUUGAUUCUUUUUUUUUUC
This 1616-nucleotide long non-coding RNA is filed under the name Daphnia pulex (common water flea). RNAcentral describes it as "uncharacterized LOC124193836, transcript variant X1". The record is from RNAcentral. Lineage: Eukaryota; Metazoa; Arthropoda; Branchiopoda; Diplostraca; Daphniidae.